AGUGAACGCUGGCGGUAGGCCUAACACAUGCAAGUCGAACGGCAGCACAGUAAGAGCUUGCUCUUACGGGUGGCGAGUGGCGGACGGGUGAGGAAUACAUCGGAAUCUACUUUUUCGUGGGGGAUAACGUAGGGAAACUUACGCUAAUACCGCAUACGACCUACGGGUGAAAGCAGGGGAUCUUCGGACCUUGCGCGAUUGAAUGAGCCGAUGUCGGAUUAGCUAGUUGGCGGGGUAAAGGCCCACCAAGGCGACGAUCCGUAGCUGGUCCGAGAGGAUGAUCAGCCACACUGGAACUGAGACACGGUCCAGACUCCUACGGGAGGCAGCAGUGGGGAAUAUUGGACAAUGGGCGCAAGCCUGACCCAGCCAUACCGCGUGGGUGAAGAAGGCCUUCGGGUUGUAAAGCCCUUUUGUUGGGAAAGAAAAGCAGCAGGUUAAUACCCCGCUGUUCUGACGGUACCCAAAGAAUAAGCACCGGCUAACCUCGUG
Molecule: ribosomal RNA, 492 nt
Filed under: uncultured bacterium
Lineage: Bacteria
Description: partial 16S ribosomal RNA
Rfam family: Bacterial small subunit ribosomal RNA
Source: RNAcentral